RNAcentral lists this ribosomal RNA (468 nucleotides) under uncultured bacterium. RNAcentral describes it as "partial 16S ribosomal RNA". It matches the Rfam family "Bacterial small subunit ribosomal RNA", at positions 28 to 507 of the family's 1533-position model. The record is from RNAcentral.
GACGAACGCUGGCGGCGUGCUUAACACAUGCAAGUCGAACGGAAAGGCCCUGCUUUUGUGGGGUGCUCGAGUGGCGAACGGGUGAGUAACACGUGAGUAACCUGCCCUUGACUUUGGGAUAACUUCAGGAAACUGGGGCUAAUACCGGAUAGGAGCUCCUGCUGCAUGGUGGGGGUUGGAAAGUUUCGGCGGUUGGGGAUGGACUCGCGGCUUAUCAGCUUGUUGGUGGGGUAGUGGCUUACCAAGGCUUUGACGGGUAGCCGGCCUGAGAGGGUGACCGGCGACAUUGGGACUGAGAGACGGCCCAGACUCCUACGGGAGGCAGAAGUGGGGAAUAUUGCACAAUGGGCGGAAGCCUGAUGCAGAAAAGCCGCGUGCGGGAUGACGGCCCUCGGGUUGUAAAACGCUUUCGCCUGUGACGAAGCGCGAGUGACGGUAAUGGGUAAAGAAGAACAGGCUAAAUACGUG